RNAcentral lists this ribosomal RNA (456 nucleotides) under uncultured bacterium. Its description in RNAcentral is "bacterial SSU rRNA". It matches the Rfam family "Bacterial small subunit ribosomal RNA", at positions 340 to 786 of the family's 1533-position model. The record is from RNAcentral.
UACGGGAGGCAGCAGUGGGGAAUAUUGCACAAUGGGCGCAAGCCUGAUGCAGCCAUGCCGCGUGUAUGAAGAAGGCCUUCGGGUUGUAAAGUACUUUCAGUCGUGAGGAAGGUGUUAAGGUUAAUAACCUUAGCAAUUGACGUUAGCGACAGAAGAAGCACCGGCUAACUCCGUGCCAGCAGCCGCGGUAAUACGGAGGGUGCGAGCGUUAAUCGGAAUUACUGGGCGUAAAGGGCACGCAGGCGGUUAAUUAAGUUGGAUGUGAAAUCCCCGGGCUUAACCUGGGAAUGGCAUUCAAGACUGGUUAGCUAGAGUCUUGUAGAGGGGGUUAGAAUUCCAUGUGUAGCGGUGAAAUGCGUAGAGAUGUGGAGGAAUACCGGUGGCGAAGGCGGCCCCUGGGACAAAGGACUGACGCUCAUGUGCGAAAGCGUGGGGAGCGAACAGGGAUUAGAUACC